This 66-nucleotide transfer RNA is filed under the name Marmota monax (woodchuck). RNAcentral's name for it is "tRNA.Ala". Lineage: Eukaryota; Metazoa; Chordata; Mammalia; Rodentia; Sciuridae. The record is from RNAcentral.
GGUUGUGGCUCAGUGUAGAGCACUUGCCUAGCAUGUGUGAGGCACUGGGUUCGAUCCCUGGAACCA